RNAcentral lists this ribosomal RNA (408 nucleotides) under uncultured bacterium. RNAcentral's name for it is "partial 16S ribosomal RNA". It matches the Rfam family "Bacterial small subunit ribosomal RNA", at positions 28 to 526 of the family's 1533-position model. The record is from RNAcentral.
GACGAACGCUGGCGGCGUGCUUAACACAUGCAAGUCGAACGAAGUGGCGAACGGGUGAGUAACGCGUAAUCAACCUGCCCUUCAGUGGGGGACAACAGUUGGAAACGACUGCUAAUACCGCAUACUGAAGGAGGGGAUUGCGUCUGAUUAGCUGGUUGGAGGGGUAACGGCCCACCAAGGCGAGGAUCAGUAGACGGUCUUGAAGGAUGAAAGGCCACAUUGGGACUGAGGAACGGCCCAGAAUCCUACGGGAGGCAGCAGUGGGGAAUCUUCCGCAAUGGACGAAAGUCUGACGGAGCAACGCCGCGUGAGUGAUGACGGCCUUCGGGUUGUAAAGCUCUGUUAAUCGGGACGCGGUACCGGAAUAGAAAGCCACGGCUAACUACGUGCCAGCCGCCGCGGUAAUAC